GUGGAAAAGGAGGGAGCUACUCUCAGGCUGCGUCCAGCGACAGUGCCCAGGGCUCUGAUGUGUCUCUCACAGCUUGAAAAGCCUGAGACAGCUGUCUUGUGAGGGACCGAGAUGCAGGAUUUCUUCACGCCUCCCCUUUGUGACUUCAAGAGCCUCUGGCAUCUCUUUCUGCAAAGGCACCUGAAUGUGUCUGCGUCCCUGUUAGCAUAAUGUGAGGAGGUGGAGAGACAGCCCACCCUUGUGUCCACUGUGACCCCUGUUCCCAUGCUGAUCUGUGUUUCCUCCCCAGUCAUCUUUCUUGUUCCAGAGAGGUGGGGCUGGAUGUCUCCAUCUCUGUCUCAACUUUAUGUGCACUGAGCUGCAACUUCUUACUUCCCUACUGAAAAUAAGAAUCUGAAUAUAAAUUUGUUUUCUCAAAUAUUUGCUAUGAGAGGUUGAUGGAUUAAUUAAAUAAGUCAAUUCCUGGAAUUUGAAAGAGCAAAUAAAGACCUGAGAACCUUCCAGGUGGAAAAGGAGGGAGCUGCUCUCAGGCUGCGUCCAGCAACAGUGCCCAGGGCUCUGAUGAGUCUCUCAUCGCUUGUAAAGCCUGAGACAGCUGCCUGUGUGGGACUGAGAUGCAGGAUUUCUUCACACCUCUCCUUUGUGACUUCAAGAGCCUCUGGCAUCUCUUUCUGCAAAGGCAUCUGAAUGUGUCUGCGUUCCUGUUAGCAUAAUGUGAGGAGGUGGAGAGACAGCCCACCCCCGUGUCCACCGUGACCCCUGUCCCCACACUGACCUGUGUUCCCUCCCCGAUCAUCUUUCCUGUUCCAGAGAAGUGGGCUGGAUGUCUCCAUCUCUGUCUCAACUUCAUGGUGCGCUGAGCUGCAACUUCUUACUUCCCUAAUGAAGUUAGGAACCUGAAUAUAAAUUUGUUUUCUCAAAUAUUUGCUAUGAAGGGUUGAUGGAUUAAUUAAAUAAGUCAAUUCCUGGAAGUUGAGAGAGCAAAUAAAGACCUGAG
This 997-nucleotide long non-coding RNA is filed under the name Homo sapiens (human). Its description in RNAcentral is "long non-coding RNA NONHSAT117692.2". The record is from RNAcentral. Lineage: Eukaryota; Metazoa; Chordata; Mammalia; Primates; Hominidae.